AGAGCGAACGCUGGCGGCAGGCCUAACACAUGCAAGUCGAGCGCCCGUAGCAAUACGGGAGCGGCAGACGGGAGAGUAACACGUGGGAACGCGCCCUUCGGUUCGGAAUAACUCAGGGAAACUUGAGCUAAUACCGGAUACGCCCUUACGGGGAAAGAUUUAUUGCCGAAGGAACGGCCCGCGUCCGAUUAGCUAGUUGGUGAGGUAAUGGCUCACCAAGGCGACGAUCGGUAGCUGGUCUGAGAGGAUGACCAGCCUCACUGGGACUGAGACACGGCCCAGACUCCUACGGGAGGCAGCAGUGGGGAAUAUUGGACAAUGGGCGCAAGCCUGAUCCAGCCAUGCCGCGUGAGUGAUGAAGGCCUUAGGGUUGUAAAGCUCUUUUAGCAGGGAAGAUAAUGACGGUACUGCAGAAAAGCCCGGCUAACUUCGCGCCAGCAGCCGC
This 445-nucleotide ribosomal RNA is filed under the name uncultured bacterium. RNAcentral describes it as "SSU rRNA". It matches the Rfam family "Bacterial small subunit ribosomal RNA", at positions 26 to 518 of the family's 1533-position model. The record is from RNAcentral.